CCUACGGGGGGCAGCAGUGGGGAAUAUUGCACAAUGGGGGGAACCCUGAUGCAGCGACGCCGCGUGGGCGAUGGAGUAUUUCGGUAUGUAAAGCCCUAUCGGCAGGGAAGAAAAUGACAGUACCUGACUAAGAAGCCCCGGCUAAAUACGUGGCAGCAGCCGCGGUAAUACGUAGGGGGGAAGCGGUAUCCGGAUUCACUGGGCGUAAAGGGAGCGGAGGCGGCACGGCAAGCGUGGGGGGAAAACCCGGGGCCCAACCCCGGGAGAGCAUUGGGAACUGACGCGGUAGAGUGACGG
RNAcentral lists this ribosomal RNA (297 nucleotides) under uncultured bacterium. RNAcentral's name for it is "partial 16S ribosomal RNA". It matches the Rfam family "Bacterial small subunit ribosomal RNA", at positions 338 to 652 of the family's 1533-position model. The record is from RNAcentral.